GUGAUGGAGAGUUUGAUCCUGGCUCAGGAUUAACGCUGGCGGCGUGCCUUAUCAAUGCGAGUCGAACGGUACGGACACUUCGGUGUCACGACCGUGGCGUCCGGGUGAGUAACACGUGGGUGAUCUGCCUCUUUGUGGGGGAUAACCCCGGGAAACCGGGGACAAUACCGCAUACGAUCACCGGAAUGCGUUCCGGUGAUGAAAGAUUUAUCGCAGAGAGAGGAGCCCGCGGUCGAUUAGCUUGUUGGCGGGGUAAAAGCCCACCAAGGCUGAGAUCGAUAGCUGGUCUGAGAGGAUGAGCAGCCACACUGGGACUGAAAUAUGGUCCUGAGCCCUACGGGGUUUAGCAUGAAGGAAUCUUGCGCAAUGGGGGAAACCCUGACGCAGCAACGCCGCGUGGACGAUGAAGGCUCUUGGGUCGUAAAGUCCUUUUCCGAGUGAUGAUGAUGACAGUAGCUCGGGAAUAAGUCACGGCCAACUACGUGCCAGCAGCCGCGGCAAUACGUAGGUGGCGAGCGUUAUCCGGAAUUACUGGGCGUAAAGCGCACGUAGGCGGACCGAAAGGUUGCCUGUGAAAUCUCAGGGCCCAACCCUGAGGCGCCGGGCAAAACCAUCGGUCUUGAGGCUGGGAGAGGGAAGCGGAACUUCCGGUGUAGUGGUGGAAUGCGUAGAUAUCGGAAGGAACACCUGUGGCGAAGGCGGCUUCCUGGUCCAGAACUGACGCUAAGGUGCGAAGGCGUGGGGAGCAAACGGGAUUAGGUACCCCGGUAGUCCACGCUGUAAACGAUGGAUGCUAGAUGUUCAAGGUCUUGACCGUUGGGUGUCGUAGCUAACGCGUUAAGCAUCCCGCCUGGGGACUACGGUCGCAAGACUAAAACUCAAAGGAAUUGACGGGGGCC
RNAcentral lists this ribosomal RNA (899 nucleotides) under Chloroflexota bacterium. Its description in RNAcentral is "bacterial SSU rRNA". It matches the Rfam family "Bacterial small subunit ribosomal RNA", at positions 1 to 921 of the family's 1533-position model. The record is from RNAcentral. Lineage: Bacteria; Bacillati; Chloroflexota.